RNAcentral lists this ribosomal RNA (253 nucleotides) under uncultured bacterium. RNAcentral's name for it is "partial 16S ribosomal RNA". It matches the Rfam family "Bacterial small subunit ribosomal RNA", at positions 524 to 776 of the family's 1533-position model. The record is from RNAcentral.
UACGAAGGGGGCUAGCGUUGCUCGGAAUCACUGGGCGUAAAGCGCACGUAGGCGGCUUUCUAAGUCAGGGGUGAAAUCCUGGAGCUCAACUCCAGAACUGCCUUUGAUACUGGCGGUCUCGAGUCCGGGAGAGGUGAGUGGAACUGCGAGUGUAGAGGUGAAAUUCGUAGAUAUUCGCAAGAACACCAGUGGCGAAGGCGGCUCACUGGCCCGGUACUGACGCUGAGGUGCGAAAGCGUGGGGAGCAAACAGG